RNAcentral lists this ribosomal RNA (302 nucleotides) under uncultured bacterium. RNAcentral's name for it is "partial 16S ribosomal RNA". It matches the Rfam family "Bacterial small subunit ribosomal RNA", at positions 508 to 807 of the family's 1533-position model. The record is from RNAcentral.
GCAGUCGCCGCGGUAAUACGAAGGGGGCUAGCGUUGUUCGGAAUUACUGGGCGUAAAGCGCACGUAGGCGGACAUUUAAGUCAGGGGUGAAAUCCCGGGGCUCAACCCCGGAACUGCCUUUGAUACUGGGUGUCUAGAGUAUGGAAGAGGUGAGUGGAAUUCCGAGUGUAGAGGUGAAAUUCGUAGAUAUUUGGAGGAACACCAGUGGCGAAGGCGGCUCACUGGUCCAUUACUGACGCUGAGGUGCGAAAGCGUGGGGAGCAAACAGGAUUAGAUACCCCCGUAGUCCCUGUCUCUUAUAC